UUAAAUGUUUAUAGCACUUUGAAAAGUGUUGGACCACUGUCACACAAGCAGUUUUCCAUGUGUCUGCCUGGGAUGCUUCUAGACUUCGCAAUGUCAAGCAAACAAAGAAUGCUGAAAACUAGAGCCUUAUUCACUUUCCCCUCUGCUGGAAAAGAGUAUUAAAUUAUCUGAAUGACAAAUGAGAUCUUCUCCAGGGGACUAUAAUAUCUUCUUUCCUGUGUUCCUGUCUGAGAUCAACAUAAUCUUCUCAGCUCUAGAAGAACAUAUGGCUUGUACCACAAAAACACCAGCAAGACACAAAAAUGUGGAGCUGCUAAGGUGGAUUUUCAAAUUAAAAGGUUGUUUUCUGUGGCAUUUUUAG
Molecule: long non-coding RNA, 361 nt
Filed under: Ficedula albicollis (Collared flycatcher)
Lineage: Eukaryota; Metazoa; Chordata; Aves; Passeriformes; Muscicapidae
Description: lncRNA (ENSFALG00000025357.1)
Source: RNAcentral